GGAGGAAUAGCUCAGUGGUAGAGUACCAUGCUUAGCAUGCAUGAGGUCCUAGGUUCAAUCCCCAAUACCUCCA
Molecule: transfer RNA, 73 nt
Filed under: Camelus bactrianus (Bactrian camel)
Lineage: Eukaryota; Metazoa; Chordata; Mammalia; Artiodactyla; Camelidae
Also listed under: 2 other names
Rfam family: tRNA
About the family: Transfer RNA (tRNA) molecules are approximately 80 nucleotides in length. Their secondary structure includes four short double-helical elements and three loops (D, anti-codon, and T loops). Further hydrogen bonds mediate the characteristic L-shaped molecular structure. tRNAs have two regions of fundamental functional importance: the anti-codon, which is responsible for specific mRNA codon recognition, and the 3' end, to which the tRNAs corresponding amino acid is attached (by aminoacyl-tRNA synthetases). tRNAs cope with the degeneracy of the genetic code in two manners: having more than one tRNA (with a specific anti-codon) for a particular amino acid; and 'wobble' base-pairing, i.e. permitting non-standard base-pairing at the 3rd anti-codon position.
Source: Rfam by way of RNAcentral